UGGGGAAUAUUGGACAAUGGGGGCAACCCUGAUCCAGCAAUGCCGCGUGUGUGAAGAAGGCCUGAGGGUUGUAAAGCACUUUCGGUGGGGAGGAGGUUACUUAGGUUAAGAGCUAGAGUAAUGGACGUUACCCACAUAAGAAGCACCGGCUAACUCCGUGCCAGCAGCCGCGGUAAUACGGAGGGUGCGAGCGUUAAUCGGAAUUACUGGGCGUAAAGGGUGCGUAGGUGGUUUAAUAAGAUAUCUGUGAAAUCCCUGGGCUCAACCUGGGCAGGUCAGAUGUGACUGUUAGACUAGAGUAUAGGAGAGGGUAGUGGAAUUUCCGGUGUAGCGGUGAAAUGCGUAGAGAUCGGAAGGAACACCGGUGGCGAAGGCGGCUACCUGGCCUAAUACUGACACU
This 400-nucleotide ribosomal RNA is filed under the name uncultured bacterium. RNAcentral describes it as "bacterial SSU rRNA". It matches the Rfam family "Bacterial small subunit ribosomal RNA", at positions 355 to 747 of the family's 1533-position model. The record is from RNAcentral.